Molecule: ribosomal RNA, 500 nt
Filed under: uncultured bacterium
Lineage: Bacteria
Description: partial 16S ribosomal RNA
Rfam family: Bacterial small subunit ribosomal RNA
Source: RNAcentral
AUUGAACGCUGGCGGCAUGCCUUACACAUGCAAGUCGAACGGCAGCACGGGGGCAACCCUGGUGGCGAGUGGCGAACGGGUGAGUAAUACAUCGGAACGUGUCCCGUCGUGGGGGAUAACCAGUCGAAAGACUGGCUAAUACCGCAUGAGAUCGAGAGAUGAAAGCGGGGGACCGCAAGGCCUCGCGCGAUGGGAGCGGCCGAUGCCGGAUUAGCUAGUUGGCGGGGUAAAAGCCCACCAAGGCGACGAUCCGUGGCUGGUUUGAGAGAACGACCAGCCACACUGGGACUGAGACACGGCCCAGACUCCUACGGGAGGCAGCAGUGGGGAAUUUUGGACGAUGGGCGCAAGCCUGAUCCAGCCAUGCCGCGUGUGUGAAGAAGGCCUUCGGGUUGUAAAGCACUUCCGGACGGAACGAAAUCGCGCGGGCGAAUACCCCGCGUGGAUGACGGUACCGUAAGAAGAAGCACCGGCUAACUACGUGCCAGCCGCCGCCGUAA